Long non-coding RNA from Anguilla anguilla (European eel), 1435 nucleotides. RefSeq lists it as uncharacterized. The record is from RefSeq and is a predicted model, not a curated record. The transcript has 2 exons. NCBI's taxonomy places the organism in Eukaryota, Metazoa, Chordata, Actinopteri, Anguilliformes, Anguillidae.
GGGGACGUCGGAAGGGGUCUCGUGGACGCAGCGAGCGACGAGGGCACGCUGCGAGGUCAUCGCGAGGUUUCGUGUCCUUCAGCUGAACAACAUGGCGACGCGUGUGCUGCAGAGAGCGUCAAGGGACGCUGUGGGCCCUGGUCUUGUAAGGCCCAGACCCGUAAGCGUGACUCAGCACCUGGCAAACAGUCCGCCACCGCAGGUGGCGAUAAAACCCCAGACAGGACCCCAGAAAAUCAACAUGUACCUGGAAUUCCUGAAUCAGCACGUGCACAUUGAAAAUGGGAUCACCGUCAGAACGUAAAUGAUCGGGUCAAAUCAUUUCGCUAAAGUGUAAGGACAAGGAACUGCGAUCAUCUUGCAACUUAAAGUAAGGAUCUGCAACCUACCAAUGAACUUGAGUUUCUUUAGAAAACAUCCAUCUGCAUAACUGAAAAUUAUAUCAGUUGUUUUAAGUUGCUCUGCGGCAAAUAGCAUACAUUUUAUAUUUGUAUGUCUUUUAAUAUAUGGAGGGCCAAUUCAGCUAUUUACUACUGGUAAUGCUGCUUAAUGCUACAGACAAGUGCUGCCUUUGAGACAUCUGAGAGCAAUGUCCACACUUUCCCUAUUUUCUCAUUUUUGUCAGUUUUUAUUUUUUUAUUUUCCUUGUUUUUUUUUUUUUUGAUGAUAACGUUUAUAUCCAGAGUUUUUGGCUUUGGUGCGUAUGAGGUCGGAUACACAGAAAUCCAUGUUCCCCUUUUCCCGCAUAAUUCCCAUCAUUUUCCCGAAAGGCGAGGCAAAGCAGUGAAUAUGGCCGACUGUAUUUUAGUCACGUGUCUACUGAACAAGCGACAAAAAACGGCUGCUCUCAUGGGGAAGAAGCGCAGGCUUUUAUGCAACAGUCCAGGAAGGAUUUUCAGUGUCGUAUCUCUGAAGUUAUCAAAGACCUUUGUCCAGUAACUGUUAGGGUCCUCUUGUGUUGGGGAGUACAGAAGUUAAAUUAACACACGUUCCUCAUUAACACUCCUAACUGUACUCCACGGUGAGGGUUCAGUGGGAAAGAAAGAAAGCUCACAGCCGUUUAAAGGGGAUUUAUUACACCUGUCCUUUUAAAAGAAAAGUACCCUUAAGCAGACAGGUAACUCGCGUUUGAUAAUGCCUGCUCUCUGCUUAGCAAAGUUGGUCAUGAACGUUUUACACACAACUGUUGGUCAUAACUGUUUAUACUUUAAUUCCUUAAUGUAGUGGUUUCUGAACUCAAUGCAUUUCACAGAAAAAAACCCUAUUUCACUUAACAGACUUACUGGCAAAUGGUGACAGUUUCUUCUUUAUUUUUUUAUUUGCAAUUCUGCAGAUCAGUAUUCUUAAGAUGUUUGGUUUCCCUUGUAGUGCAUGUCCCUCAAACGCAGUACAGUACUGCAUCAGUAAGACUCCAGAGAGCCUUUCUGAAAGAAAA